GUGGGUGGGAAGGAGCUCUCUUCAGUCCAGUCCGGGGCAUUGGAAAGGCCGAUGACACAGCUACUGACUCGUUGGUUCGAGAACUCAUCGACAAUUGUAAUAGGAGAUAUUAUUGGAUGGGUUUCCGAUCCAACGAUGCAGGAGCUGUGUGUGGCUAUUGAUGUCGCGUCUUGGACUGAAGGGAGCUCCCUACUGCCUACUA
Molecule: microRNA precursor, 202 nt
Filed under: Ipomoea nil (Japanese morning glory)
Lineage: Eukaryota; Viridiplantae; Streptophyta; Magnoliopsida; Solanales; Convolvulaceae
Description: MIR159 microRNA precursor family
Rfam family: MIR159 microRNA precursor family
Source: Rfam by way of RNAcentral